CCCCUGUCCCCUGGGCCUGAUGCCUCCCCACCCCACCCCGGCGUCCCCAUCCCUUCCUGCCCCUCGCCGGGCCGCCGCGUGCUUGGUGGCCUCGUGGUGCUGCCGGGUCUGGGGCGGCGAGCGAACAAGCCAGAGAAAGGUGAUGGCGCUGGCCGCGCGCUCCCAGGGCUGCCUCCCGGCCCUUGUGCCCCGCACGAGUCCCUCCAUUUUGGAGGAGCGAGCUUUCCCAUUUUGUUUUCCCCAAACACUUUCGGCGUGUAGAUGCAUAUUCGUUUGUACUAUGAUUUAGGGCGGGGGUUGUGGUCCUUUUUGUUGUUGAUCUUUCUAAACCUCUAUUUCUAGCUCGAAAGUUGCGGAGUUUUUUUGUAUUUUACGGUUUUGUGCUUGAGACCAAAUUUGUGCUUGAGACCGAUACCGAGCAAAUCCAGCUCGGUAUCGUUCUCAAACGAUACGGUUGCAUUCUUAAACCCUCUUGGUAGCUUCGUUCUAAAGGCUUCCAAGAUAUGAGUGAAUGCUAUAGAGAUUGCAGGGGAGUCCAAAGGGCUUUGCUUCUCCUGUGGCUCAGUCUUAUUUCAUACCUGCGACAUCUUUUAAGAGAGAUUUACAAGAGGGGAAUCGUGUCACCAAAACCUUUGUGAUCUUUGAAUUUCGGAGGUUGAAGGUGGGAGGAGAGGCUUGCUUUGCUUAUGAUAAUUACUCAAGAGACCCAGCGGCUGGAACUGUCUCCAUCUUGUAAACUGCUCAUCCAGGUGCCUGAGAGGGAAGGAAAGCGCUCCUGCCCAGAAAUGUCCUAUUGUGUAUAGCUCAUUGACCAGAACUAUUUUUAUGACCCUGACAAAUCACAAGAAGAGAGCUUGAGUCAGG
Long non-coding RNA from Physeter macrocephalus (sperm whale), 864 nucleotides. RefSeq lists it as uncharacterized. The record is from RefSeq and is a predicted model, not a curated record. Lineage: Eukaryota; Metazoa; Chordata; Mammalia; Artiodactyla; Physeteridae. The transcript is spliced from 2 exons.